AAAUAAGUUACGAAAAUAACUCAAAGUGAGAAGCGCUUAUGCAAAUAAGCUAUGAAAACAAAUCGUGGGUUUACGUUCACAAUAGCAAACAUCACACUCGUAUCAGAGCAUCACGCUCUCACUGGCUCAGUAUUACUCUCAGCCUUCACUCUAACUCACCUCUCUCACUCACCGCCGCUCUUCACUUCUCUCAUCCUAUAACGCAAAGGUCCAAGGUUUAAAGAGAAACAAGAAGAAAAAAAGCCUCACCUUUGGUGAAAACUACGGAGACGAUGAAGCUUCAAACCUCCCCCCUUUCGCCUCUUCAAAAGGGUUUGAAUAGGUAUCUUUGGGUGUUACAAGAAGUUACUCUGCAAAGUUCCUUUUGGUGCUCAGAAAUUUAAGUGGCCUUUUUGAUGCUAGAAUCGGAACGUGAAGAUUGGAGGUGAGGGAACGUGAAGCUAGUUGAUCCGUUGGACUAUUGCCUUGUUGGGAAACAUUUCUCAGGACAUCCAUGGCUUUAGCAACUUUAGCCUUGAGAGCAUCAGGUGAUUCUAUCGAAUGCAAAACUUCAGGCUGAUCCAUCUCCAAAAGCAUGCCGGUAACCUCCCUGCGGCACCGACGAGCAGAUGAACUGGUUGAGGAAUGAUUUCGGUUAUCACAGGGGUGAAGAAAAACCUUUUUCUCCAGAGGAAAUAUUAUCUAUGAUCCUCGCAAACAUGCGGGAAAACGCAGAGAGACUUUGGAGACACCUAUCAAAAAUGCAGUGAUUACAGUUCCGGCCUAUUUCAAAGAUUCUCAGCGAAAAGCCAAUAUAAAUA
This is a long non-coding RNA of Lathyrus oleraceus (garden pea), 800 nucleotides long. RefSeq lists it as uncharacterized. Lineage: Eukaryota; Viridiplantae; Streptophyta; Magnoliopsida; Fabales; Fabaceae. The record is from RefSeq and is a predicted model, not a curated record. The transcript has 5 exons.